Long non-coding RNA from Drosophila simulans, 11475 nucleotides. RefSeq lists it as uncharacterized. The record is from RefSeq and is a predicted model, not a curated record. Lineage: Eukaryota; Metazoa; Arthropoda; Insecta; Diptera; Drosophilidae. The transcript is spliced from 2 exons.
GCUUGAAUAAAGAGAUUCGUUUUCGAUUAAUUAUAAGCAGCGAGUUUGAAAGAUACCUAAAUGGAGUACUACAGUUAUAUGAACAGAGCAUCCCAGUUAUCAACUUGACUUUCACGUUCCAUCGCCCAUCAUCAACAAGUCCAUGUGGAGGAAGUCGGUCGAAAGUCCUAAGUGGGCAACAAAACCGGCUCCUUUCCUGCAGAAAACACACACAUAGGCAAAGGGCAAGUCUAGUCCAGGAAUUGAGCUUUUGAUAGUGGAAAGCCCAUUGAGCUUUUUAAACAAUAGCCGGCGAAAGAGAGAGAUAGAGAGCAUUCAGGCCAGAGCGAGAUGGAAUAGUAUCCUUUCUAAGGGCCUGAUGAGUUGACUAUUUGCAAUGUUAGCAACAAAUGUAGGCAGAUCCUUUAAAACAACAAUGCCAAAACGAUGAUGCUACUAAAAGCGAGAGAACAUUACAAAAUAACAGAAAAAAAAGAACGGAAAAAACCGACAUAUGCUAACAAAAGCCUGCUGCUGUGCUUGGACAAUAAAGGGGGCGAAGUUGGUUUCGGGCGGCGAAAUGGGAGGCAUACCAACUGUGUAGAGUGCAUUAAACUGCGCCCAAGUCACACACUCGAGCGAUAGACAGAGACGGAGCGGGUAGAAUACAGCUAGAAAGAGAGGCAGAACUGUGCUGGUGCAUUUCCUAACACUAACUCUAAUGUGGCUAGAAAGCUAAAUAGGCGUGGGAAAUGCUAUAAAUAUCAAAUGUAUUAUUUGUAUUCAUCGUAUAUCUUUAUAUAUUAUAAAAGUAAGCAUUCUGUAAGAAAAGUAUGUUUCUGGUAUAUAGCGUUGUUUUAAACACCUUCGUAUAGUAUUUCAAAACUUCUGUGGUGCUAUAAAAAGUUUUUGUUACCCUUUUUAAAAAGGGUAUUUUAUUAUUUAAUCUAGUUGAUUUUUUCCCUAUUUUCGCUAUUAGAAAAAAUAAGUUAGGUUAGCUGGAAAAUAGCCAGAUUGCCAUUUCUGUCCGUUCGACGAUGGCGACAAUGACGACCAAGUCGAGUAGCUCGCGGAGACGGCGAUUGGCGGCAUAAAUCCAAUCCACUGGUGGAUUUGCAAAAAGCUUCAGCUACAUGCCAAAACCCGCGUGUACACACAUACACACACACACAUACACUCGUUGUCGAAAACAAUAAUAAAUCUCAGCAGCAGCGGCAGCAAUAUCAUAAAAAAAGUAAUGUAACAAAGGCAGUCGGAGGGAGGCCCAUGAAAAAGCGCAAAUAACUCAAAUAAAACGAAAGACAGAGAGUACAAGUAAAAUAAAAUGAAAUAGUCCCCACUAGCCCCCUUUCAUUUGAUCAUUCGUGGACUUCGAAACGAAUGGAAUCGAAUCGAAUCGAAAUCAGGAGUAGAUGCAACAAGAAGUGUAGGGCCAGUCAAAGUAAAUGGUCACGAAGGCGAAAGGAAAGUGGAAAUGGGAAAGAGUAAACUUCCGUUAGUGUGGCUAGUGUGGUCGGUGUGUAUUUUUUGUGUGUUGGCUGGUGUAUGAAAUAAUAACGGCGAGGGAUAAAGAGAAAGCAGAUAUGCAGGAUAUGAGUCUGGAUAUAUGUAUGUACAUACAUAUGUAUGUAGUGCAGACGCGUAUAGAAAUGAUAUAAAUGUGCAAAAUAAUAAUAAAAAUGGUGUAAUAAAAGCACAGUAAAGGUGUGUGCGCAACGCAAACAGCUAAAAACAACAACAAUCAGGAUGAGAUGUAGUCUUUGAUCAGAAUGAAAACACUGAAGUGUUGCAUACUUUUUGACAUCUCUUCAAGUGAAUUUGGGAGUUCUCUCAAUCUGUGAAUAUCUGUAAUAUCAUUCUUGCCCAUUUUUCAUGUACUUACUUAACGCUACAUAUCUUAACCAAGUUAAUCCUGCCAGUUGAGCUGUAUUGAUCCCAAUGCAUUCACCUCUGUGAGGAUUGGCCCACUAUGACAACAAUGCGAACCAAUGGGGUUGGGAGGUUGAAGAGGAAAUGCGAAAAUCCACACACCUUUGGUCCGGGUAUACAAAUGCAUUUCGCUAUAUGGCGGUCUGUUGUAUGCACAUACAUACGGGAGUGAUUGUUGGCCAACAGAUAUGACCCGACUCAUUUAGACCGGCAAAAGCGGCGGUGGCAACAAAGUUAGCCAUUUAUUCUGUGGCGACGGGAGAGGGGGUGGCUUAUAAUUAUAGCCGCUGUUGUAUUUGCUAAUGGGAUGGCCCUGAAUGGGCGUCGUUCGGGGCGUGGCAAUUAAAGCACCUUGUCCAAGUGCUGCGAUUUCGGGCGGCGUGCAAUCAGUUGAAUUGCAAUUGGCGAAUUUGGGAAUUGCGCUUUGCAGCCAUUAAUACUGUAUUUAUAGGGGUCUGGCACACGAAUGUGAUGACCCGACCUGAUGGAAUACGUUUGUGAUUCAAGGGAGUUAACACAAGAGUGUGGUUUAAGGUUAAACAACUUAAUAAUAUGCUUUAAUUUCGAUACAAAAGUGAAAUAUGAUAGGGUAGGAUAUGCGGAAGUAAACUGAAAUCAUUCGGAUUAACUGCAAAUACGAGCUCCUGUUCCUGGAGCUAUUCAAUCCAGUCUAUUAGCUUACGAUGCACAACUAUCAAUAAAUCGAACAUGCCAAAGCCAGCAGACCAAAAAGUAAGUUUGCCCUCGACUGUGUUUGCUUUCCAUGCGCCAGCACUACUCAAGCAAUUCAAUACCAACUCAAUAUUGGCUAACCCAAAAAAAAAGCAAAAUAAUAACAGAAUGAGGGGCCACAAAAAGUUGCAGUUUUCCAGUGACUUUUGGCCAAGUUGAGUGCGGCACAUCAACAGGAUUUCAUCUCUCUCUCUUGCCGGCGAAACACAUGGCGUAUGUGCGAUAUUACGUAUACGCAGUGGAGUUUCAACUGCACUUUAGACAUUUUGAUAAUUGCUUCGGAGUAAUGUUUUUCUUGUUGCUAGCUUAACUGCUCGACAGGGUCAACAUGUCAUACUAAUUUUAUGGCCUGGCCCCCAUCGCCAACCAAAAAGCAGCCAGCCAAGCAGCCAAAAGAGUCUGUCUCGUCUCGUCGCCCGGUCUGUGAACUGUGAAUGGCCUUUUGUGUAUACAGGAGCAGGAUUUGGGUGUGGGAAUGGGAAUCGGAAUGGGAAUAGGGCAUGGCCAGGAGGGAAGUUCGUUCAGUGUCCACUGGAGCUAGGGCUCUUCCGACGCCGACGAGAGAGUGGAGCAGAGAAAGGUUGCCCUGAGCUACGCAUUUUUGUGGUGUUACGGCGAGUUGAGCUCUUGUUUGUUCAUUCCAUGUGAGUUCUGUGAGUCCAGCCGCAGCAACUUCCAAGUGAAUGGACACCCAAUGAUCGGCCACAAAGUAUGGUAUAGUUUUCUCGACUCACCACUACUUUUUGGUGGAAAACAAAUGGGCUGGCACUCAAAAAUCGAUGCCAACUUAAAAAGUUCACUCGCAUAUGCUUCCGGCACACAUUUUUUGCUUUUGGCAAUGGAACUUUCUGGCACUGUUUUCAAUAAGCCAGUGAAUUCAUUGAUAUGGAAUAAAGUUCUUUAUUUCCUUGGCAAGAACGGCUGCACACGAUUAUUAGUCGAUGAUGUUACAAUGAUAUUGAAACACUUUCUGCAUUGUAUUUUCAAUAUCCAAUCAUGACUGCAGAUUGAUGUCAAUCAUCUGCGGUAACCUUUCUAAAUCCAUUCAAUCAAUAAUUCAAUCAGGAGGCAAGACAGCCUUUUCAUUGUUGUUGCACAUCAAUCAGUGUUGCUGCCCCAUCAGGACUUUUGAAGAACUCCCCUAUUAAAUCACCGCUACCAAACUGAAAUCGAACAGGAGAAAGCAAUUCAAAUUGCCUGGCCGACGAGCAAGAGGAGCUCUGCACCUGACACACUCACCACGAAGCGAAUUCUGCUAUUGGCCAUAGGCCUAGCUGUUGACCUUAUGGCUUUUCCCCGCUUUUCCCGCAUUUCCCGCUUGCGCCGUUCUGUUUCUCUUUGCAUUUUAAGCCAGGACUUUCUUGCUUCUGCAAUUUUUUAUCUUCAACAAGAUUUAUGCGGCUUUGUGUCAUAAUUCCUAGCGCUCUACUCGUUGUAUUUCCCCCCUUCUUUUUUUUACUCUCUCGUUUUGGUGUAAACUUAUGUCGUAUUCAGGCGACAUCGGAAGAUAUAGAACAAAAGUGAAGGGGACGGCCAAAGUUGUUCAAGUUUUUGGCGCUGCCGUUGUAGCUGAUUCAUUUUUCACCUUUUAGUGUUCAUUAUUUAUUUGUUUCUUGUGCAUUACCUAUAAGCUAGCCUUCUUCAUUUGCGCAACUCCGAAUGCGUUUCAAUGUCCCACUUUUGCGCAUGAAAUGGAAAUUUGGCUUUGUGUUCGCCUUAUGUUUAAGGCCAAAAUGCCACACACACGACAUUUAUUAGGUUCUUUGCGAAAUCCAGUCUUGAUAUCCUUGUGGAUUGCGUUUUCAGGGAUUCUGGUUGAGUCAUAAAAAUGUUGUAAAAAUGAACAGGAUUUAAUUAGCACAAUAAAUGCAACAAAUUUGCAGUGUUACUAAAUUACAUAUAUACAAAGCAUAUUAGUGACUAGGCUGAACAACAAAUUCGUAAUAGUAUUAGAAAUGUUAGUAAGUCUUUUUCCUCUUGAUUAGAAAUAAGUGUGUAAACAAACUGCCCCACUUAAGUGGCGUCACUAAUGUAUUUCGAGCAUUUCCUGCUAAUUUUUCGACAUAAACAUUUUGUCUCCCCAUUUUGCGUCAGUCACAAAGUCAUCGCCGAAAAUAUGCCAGAAGCUCAAUUUGCCUUUUGGAAAAACGUCGUUUGCCCACCAUGAAUCACCCUUAAGUCUUGCCACCCGGGCAAUUAUAUGGCCAGUCCAACCCGCAUUUGACGCCCAGCCGAGGAGCUGCAAACGAAAAUUUCAUCAAAAUCUGUCACCCACUUAACCCCAUGAUGAUGACGAUGUCGUGUUUGCUGUUGCUCUUGCCCCAUUGUGUUUGUUGUUCUUCGCCUUUCCAGCUUUGUUGUGCACAUUAAUUUUGACGAAAACAAUUUCAUUUAACGGCAUUUCCGGCAGCAGCAGCAGCACACAUCGCUUCGCUAGACAGCGACACAACUACGACAUUUUAACCGAAAGACAGGCAGAAACCCAAGCCCGGAGCCAAACACAAACCCAAACCGAAACACACAAGUUGGCUGACAAGAUGAGUUAACCAGGCGCAUAACAAUAUAAGUAUGUGGUGGAUACAAUGGCGAGAAGGAGUAGCAACCCUUUGGCAGGAGCAUCUGGGCCUGGUCAAUGCAUUUCCCGGCUCCACUUGAUUGUAUUGUCAUUGUCAGGACUUUUGAGUAGUUGACCAUGAUGGUGGAGCCACGUAAUUCACACUACUUGAAAAGGGGUUGAUGAUAUUCUAAGUGGAGAACCAAUAGGGAAUACAAAUUGAUAAGAAAGUUGUCCACAUUGAUGAUGACUAUGUGGUGUCACAAUAAAAAAAAUGUAUAUUUUAUAAUGAAUAAUGCUGGAAUUUACGUAUUUUAAACUAGAGACACUAGAAGAAUCUGGUUCAGCUUGAAUGCAUUCCAAGGCCAUUAGUACUCAGUACUGGUAAGGGUAUUUCCGCGUCGUUUUGACCGCCUGAGCUAGAUGAUCUCAGCAUUCCUCGUGCUUAUACAUUUGCCAUAUUUGAAAUUCCCAUUAUGCUCCCUAGCUGCGUCCGACUGCUCCGCUGGCUGGUGUCCUGGUGUCUAGUGUCUUGUAAGGGGAAGUUGUGUCUAACACGCACGUACGACCCGUGGCAUGACCCUGCACCACACCCACCCCUCCUCAGUGAUCCCACCCUGCUCAACCGACUUGACUGGAUGUUUUGCUCAAUAUGCCAGUCAGUCACUUGGCCGGGAAAACAUGGCCAAAAGCGGUGGGGUGGUGGCAAGUGGUUGUAGCGUAGACAUUUGGCGAAAUGAUUUUCAUAUUUUGCGUGCGAGGGAGAGGAACUGGCUCUUGGGCGAUGCGAACUCACAUUCUAAUGCGAAAUGAGCUCACACCACCGAGGAAAUUUGAUUUGAACGACGAGUGGGUUAACGCUCACCCCUUCAGCGAGAUGCGAAUUAAUGAGGCGUGUCUCACUUAUGUUUUGUUGCCUGUGUCAAUAUACUCGCAAUAAUAUUAUCGUUAUUGUUAUUUAUUAUGGCUGCUGCAUAUUUACCCAGUGGCCACGCCCCGCAGUUUAUGGCCUUGAUGGUUGGCGGGCGUAAGCCGCUUAAAUAAUUAGUUAAUUGAUUUCGCUGGCCACUCUGGAAAUUGUGGAAUUAUUUUACGUUUUUUCCAGCGGUUUUCACGCAAAUUAUCAUAUGUGUAAAAUUCUUUAGUUUUUAGUUUUGAUCAGUUUUGGUUUUGCUAUUUAAUUAGGGGUUUUGUGGAAUAGUUAGGCGGUAUGGCAAUUUCAAAUUGAACAACGCAGCAUAAGCAUAUCUAGAUCGUAGAGUUUAAGCCUGAAUGAUAUAUGAUUUGCACUUAAAAUGCAUUCCUACCUUCGAAUGGCAAUAAAAUCGUUGACUGCUUGUCGAGAAUUUACUCUUAAUUCCUUUAUUUAUUUAGCUGCGUUUUGAAACUUAAUUCUCCAGCACUCCAUCUCCAGGCAGUCCCUCCCCUUUACCCCCGCUCCAUUAUCAACAUCAUCUUCGACUUUUGUCUCGCUCUUCUCCAUGGCAACCGCAAACAGUUUAACGCGACCACAGCGUCCACGGUUGUAAUCAACUGCCACUCGUCCUGCGGCAAUCGACAGUGGGCCCCAGCUUUAAAUUACGUAUCAAAUGGCAGUCGUUAAUGAACAGUAACGAAAAUAGAAUGAACACCAAAUGAACAGCAAGCAAAAUGAACAGAAAAUAUUCAAAUGAACACAAAGGAAGAUGAGCACUAAGCAAGAUGAACACCAAACAUAAUGAACACCUGUAUUUAUUUUAAAAAUAUUUACACAAAAUGUAUAUUUCUUUCGAAAAUCAAGUGAAGCGCAUCCACUGUUCGUUCUGCUUACAAUUUGUUUACGUUAGCGCUGCGUUCGCAUUAAAGGCUACGCGGUUCUUUAUUUAUGGCCAUCAAUAUUUUAUGACGCGCAACGCGCAUGAAAAGCCAAGGGAAACCGAGAGGAAAAGGAGCGGAGUAGAUCGGAGAAGUGCCUGGACAGACGUAAGCAUGCUGUGCGCUGGGAAAGCAAGUUAGUUACCCGGUUCCCCCCGCAGCUAGCACUUAAAGCAUAAACGCAAUUAAGAAAAAAUAAGUGAAAAAGCCAAGUCGAAGGACCAAGGACCAAGGACGAACACAGGCGAAGAUGGCGAAGGAAAACUCUUUGCAAAUUAGUUUAAUUAUCGGGAAAUGCAAACAAAGCGACGCUAAAAGUGUGCGCAUUCCAUUUACUACUCAAACAACCCUCGCUGGAGUUAGCCAUGUGUGAUGCUGAUUAUAGCAUCAUCUGCUAAUUCCAGUUGCCUUAAUUAAUAUUUAUAGGCUGCCGUUUCUUCAGAUAAUCAAAGCAAACUCUCUCUACCGAAACUCUCCAAAAUUGUAGCCAACACAUAAUUGAUGGCGGGAAUUUUUAGUUUAUUUGUAUACAUUCUAUACAAUGGAAAAUAUUAAGCAUAAUUUAUGCGGAAAUAUUAAAAAUAACGACACAAAGUAAAUUCCAAAUCUUCAUACAAAUUGCAAGGAAGAAAAUAGUGGAAACUGCGAAGAAUUGCUAUUGCAGUAAUCCGCAGUGAGGAGAUGAAGGCAACCGGAAAUGACUGUUUGCUGUUACAACUGGGUGGUCGCAGUGUGUGGUGGUUGCAGCUUUAAGAGCUGGACAAACAAUCUAUUACUUCGAGCUCAGAUACUAACAAACCAAACAGUAUGCAGUAGUCAGUUCAAAGGCCUGUAUGGCAUUAUUUCAUUGGCCUUUUUGGCGGCCCAGCAAAUUGUUCCUGCCCACGCUCCCUAAAAACAGUUUCAUUGGCAUUUAUGCGCUUAAUUGUGUUUUGUUGCAAUGUGGUGGUGCACAUGGGAAUGAAAAGCCAACUCCUAAUGUCAGCCCUAAAGCAUACAGUAGUGCAACGUGUGGUGGCGAUGGCUGGACCACAAGAAUCCCCAUUACCCACACGCCCUGUUGUUCCGGGGAUAGCUGGCCAUAUCCACAUCCACAUCAUCCUGUGUCGGUGGCGCCAAAGCGUCCGCAUAAGUUUGUUUUUAAUGUAACCUUGUUAACAGCAGUCUGCGUGGCACACCCCACCACCCAACUCAAUAUAUAUAUAUAUCUAUAUAUGUAUGUAUAUAGAUGACUAUAUGGCCAACAGGUCGAUGAAUUGCAUUAGCUGGCUGCUAAUAAAAGGAUCCUGUUACUCGCGCGGUUUUGGGUUCAAUAACAUGGCGGCAUGCAAUUAAAAUAUUUUAGCAUUACGCAUACGCACCGUUGAUCUCUGUUGAAAUUUCGCAAUCAUAGAGAUUUUAACUCAAUUUCUGCUAUAUUGUAUGUAGUUACGUUUUACAUUUAGAUAAAAAUGAUGUUAAACAUUAAACAGGGAGCUAACUGAAUUAAAUACUAACAGACAAUACAAGCGGCCCAAUUAUAAAUAGCUAUCCCUUAUCCUCCUGCACAGUGGGCAUAGUUCUGUCGAUAAAGCGAAGAACUCGUAUCUCUAUCUGUCUGUAUUGUCGAGCACUGGUCUUAUCACCUCCAUAUCCCCCUCGCAAAGCCCCAAAACAAAACAGAAGAGAAGAGAAGUGUGGAGAAGAGUGGAGAAGAGAAAAGAAUGCGAGGGAGCAGGGCGCACAUGUUGCAGAAAAGCAGCGUAGAAAAUACAAUAAAUUACGACAGAUAAACAAGGGAAAACUGGCGGAGCGAGCACACAAAAUACAAAUGCGGAAAAGUGAUGGCGAAGAAAAUAAAUAAAUAGGGAAAAUAAAAGUUUGCUUUUCGCUGUAUUUACUUGGCUGUUUUCCUUAUUGCGGCUACGAAAAUUAUCAUUUUAAGUUUUCUUUUUUAUCGUCGUUUUGUUUGAUUUCGUUCAUUUCCCCAUAAAUAAUAUGCCCAUAAUUUCUGAAUCAUCCAUAAUAAUUUAUUGUACCAUUCGAUUUGAAGUUAAUAGUAAGUUAAGGAAAGUCAACUAAAAAUGCACAAAGUUUUUUGAAUUUAGUUAAUAUUUUAAAGUGAAAAGUUUCUCUUAAAUUAUGACAACCUUUUACAUGUCACGUUUUCUAGAAUUUAGUGUAAUAAUUGCAUUCAAACCUUUCCUUUUUGUCACGUUCUAAAAUCCCAUGAAAAGAAGUACGUUUAAACGAAAAAGGUAGCAUAGUUAAAUUUAUAACUUUUACUUUUUAUUGCUGUAUAUAUUUAUUUCCUUUGGAGUUUUCUGCGCACAACGGAAACCAUAAACAUGUUUGUUGCGCUUGUUUUUCCUCACGUUGUUGUGAUUUUUCACAAUUUAAUUGAAAUUAAUUGAUUAAUGUUGAAAACGUUUUUAUUGCCCAGCGAUUGCUGAUGGUUUCCGUUGUUAUUGCCGUUCUGCUGUUUUGGGGCUGCCAUUUUCCAACUUGUUGAAAGUUUACCCUCCCCCCUCCCCUUCGGGUUGCCCCUUCCCUUGCCUCACCAAUAGUUUUCCCUUAACAAAUUGCGCGAUAAUUUAUUGCGAGAGCGAAGAAGACAACGGCGGGGGACCUCAUCAGUUUUGUAAUUAUCUCGGUCUCGCCAUCUCACUCACACCGGCGUUUCUCUCUCUCUUUCGCACACACAGAAGAUGAAUUAGUUACGUUUUGGCAGCGGUACGCGAUUUGCGGUCAAGUUGAGGAUGCCAAACAAAUUUACGCCCGAAACUGAACUCGUGUAAUGAAAACAGCAUUAAAUAUGAAUGGCAUCGCUUGUGGGAUUAUUCGGGUUCAUCAUUUAUUGAUUCCACCUACAGCAGGUAAACUGGGUAAACUGGUCUCAAAAAUCUGCUCUCCAUACUAAAGCAUAACAUAAUUUUGAUUUCGAUUUGGGCCUCGUCUGAGAACUGAGACGCAAAUGCAUUCGGAGCAGAACUUGUGCAUAACUGAAUAGUUUUCAUUAAGUUAAUUGAUUUGGCCGCAAGGUGGACAGAAAGCAGAGCAAAUACUAUCAGUUUAAGCCAUUUGGGGCAAAGCAUUUGCACUGCUUUGAACUUGUGAGCGUUGUGAGUAGAAAUUCAAAUUAGAUUUGUGCAUAGGAAUUUUAAAUUUUAAAUGAUAUGUAUUUAAAUGAAGCGUUUUUGAACAGCUCUGAAAGUGAUUUCGAAACGCCAUUGAUUUCCGCUCAAUGAACUCAUUAUAUUCGCCUCUUAAAACACCAUUUCUUUUUUGUGUUCAACCCUUAACCACCACGAACACAAACCACACUUAAGCACACGAAUAUGGAGCCAUAAAAGAGCAUGUACCGCAAAUCGCUUAUAUCACUCAGCAGCGCCUAAAAGCGGGCAACGAAAAACAAUUUAAAGUUACAUCGACAACUUUAAUGGCCCAAAGGGCAAAAAGAUGGCCAUUACGAGGAGGCGGCUAGAAAGUGGGGGGAAUAAAAAGAGGCAGACAUACAUAUAAAAAGGAGAUGGACAGACCGACAUAGGGAUUCGGAUUGGGAUUGGGAUUGGGAUUCGGAUUCGCGCACAUGUGUUGCCAAACGCAGGACUGCCAAGCAAAGCUAUCUGCUUGGGCAUAUACUAUAUAUGUAUGUAUGUGGCGGAUACACACUUACGAACUUGCCUCCGAAAGGGGCAACGAGUUUAGUGGGGGCGUGGCACAUUCGGUGGACGGUCGCGCGACGCACGAGUAAGUUGUCAAAAACAGCGGCAGUGGCAACGGCGGCGGCAGACCCAAAGCGCCAAAAAAUGUUGCCCCAACUAUCAAAGCGAAACUUUUGUGAAAUAGAGAGAGGACGAUAUAAUGUAGAUUAUACACGGACAAACUUAAAGAGGAAGUGCCAGCCAGGAACCACCACCACCAACACCACCACCACUGCAUCCAUGUGUGUGUUUUGGCCAUGGUGAUGGAGCAGUAGAUAAAAGAGCAAAACUCCCAGCCAACUUUAGAUACAUUUAUUUCAAAUGUAGUCACGGCAACAGAGUAACUAACUCAACCGACCAGCAUUCGGAUGAAAAGGAGGAGAGCACAAAAUAAGGCAGCUUGGUGGUCAAUUAUAAUGUUAACUGGAUGUCGAUAGCUGGCAUUAACCCCGACUUGGUUAAAAUGGAAUCCUAUCAUGUUCAUUUCCAAAGUAAUUUACUUACAGCAAGGUGAAAGAUUUCCGUUAAAGGAUUAACCACUCUUUAUCAGGAUAACAAGCGAGCGAGAGCUUUUCAUUUUUAACCCCCCAGUUAAAUGAUUAAGCAGUGCCUGUCCAACUGUAGACUGGCAAUCAACAGUGGCAACAACAACAACAACAGCAACAACAACAAAAUGUGGAACAAACAAUUGUUGCCAACCGCAAAACUUUUGUCGCUCGUCACUGGCUUUUGUUGAAAAUAAUA